UAAAAUGACUCUCGGCAACGGAUAUCUCGGCUCUCGCAUCGAUGAAGAACGUAGCGAAAUGCGAUACUUGGUGUGAAUUGCAGAAUCCAGCGAACCAUCGAGUCUUUGAACGCAAGUUGCGCCCGAAGCCUUCGGGCUAAGGGCACGUCUGCCUGGG
RNAcentral lists this ribosomal RNA (157 nucleotides) under Fagonia harpago. RNAcentral's name for it is "5.8 ribosomal RNA". It matches the Rfam family "5.8S ribosomal RNA". From Rfam's summary of the family: 5.8S ribosomal RNA (5.8S rRNA) is a component of the large subunit of the eukaryotic ribosome. It is transcribed by RNA polymerase I as part of the 45S precursor that also contains 18S and 28S rRNA. Functionally, it is thought that 5.8S rRNA may be involved in ribosome translocation. The record is from RNAcentral. Lineage: Eukaryota; Viridiplantae; Streptophyta; Magnoliopsida; Zygophyllales; Zygophyllaceae.